This 255-nucleotide ribosomal RNA is filed under the name Vibrio parahaemolyticus. RNAcentral's name for it is "partial 23S ribosomal RNA". It matches the Rfam family "Bacterial large subunit ribosomal RNA", at positions 1644 to 1883 of the family's 2925-position model. The record is from RNAcentral. Lineage: Bacteria; Pseudomonadati; Pseudomonadota; Gammaproteobacteria; Vibrionales; Vibrionaceae.
GUACCCCAAACCGACACAGGUGGUCGGGUAGAGAAUACCAAGGCGCUUGAGAGAACUCGGGUGAAGGAACUAGGCAAAAUGGUACCGUAACUUCGGGAGAAGGUACGCUCUUGAUGGUGAAGUCCCUUGCGGAUGGAGCUGACGAGAGUCGCAGAUACCAGGUGGCUGCAACUGUUUAUUAAAAACACAGCACUGUGCAAAAUCGUAAGAUGACGUAUACGGUGUGACGCCUGCCCGGUGCCGGAAGGUUAAUUG